RNAcentral lists this long non-coding RNA (528 nucleotides) under Volvox carteri. RNAcentral describes it as "long non-coding RNA (VCAR_LNC004336)". Lineage: Eukaryota; Viridiplantae; Chlorophyta; Chlorophyceae; Chlamydomonadales; Volvocaceae. The record is from RNAcentral.
GGAUGGGGAACAAAGGGGAUGCCCAAAGGGGAAGACAAGGAAAGCGCUGGGAGGUUUGUUUAGUAUAGUUUUACAAGCCCCAGGAUGGUUUUCACCAUACUAAUUACUAGUAUGCUGAAAACCAUCCUAGGCGGUACUUUGCUGUAAAGUGACAGGUGUGUGAUUGGCCAAUAGCCAGUUCGCCAACAACCGGAUAAAGAAUAAACUUCUACUUUAGUUUAAAAUACUAAUCACGACACUUUUUUAAACUUUUUAUUGUAGCUCACUAUCUAUAUUAUUUUAUUAUAUUUUUAUAGCUUAUAACAAACCAUCCGACCUAAUCUGCGCUGUAAGUCUUGUUUUAAGUAUUGUUUCAAGUGCAAGCGUCGCCAAUUUUAACGAGUAGCUUUUCUUCCCCUUUAGUUCCCCUAAAGGGGAUGAACUAAAGGGGAACCCCCUUCGUCCCCCCUUCUUCGUACCUUCGGGGAAGGUAACCCAGAGGAUACAAGGAAAGGGCUAGCCCCCUAACGUAGUUAAGCUAUGUUGUAG